GAACUGCGAUAAGUAAUGUGAAUUGCAGAAUUCAGUGAAUCAUCGAGUCUUUGAACGCACAUUGCGCCCCCUGGCAUUCCGGGGGGCAUGCCUGUCCGAGCGUCAUUGCUGCCCUUCAAGCCCGGCUUGUGUGUUGGGUCGUCGUCCCCUCCGGGGGACGGGCCCGAAAGGCAGCGGCGGCACCGCGUCCGGUCCUCGAGCGUAUGGGGCUUUGUCACCCGCUCGAUAAGGACCGGCCGGGCGCCAGCCGGCGUCUCCAACCUUUUUUUCUCAGGUUGACCUCGGAUCAGGUAGGGAUUCCCGCUGAACUUAAGC
Molecule: unclassified non-coding RNA, 315 nt
Filed under: plant metagenome
Description: partial contains 5.8S ribosomal RNA, internal transcribed spacer 2, and large subunit ribosomal RNA
Rfam family: 5.8S ribosomal RNA (bases 1-105)
Source: RNAcentral